GGGGGUUCCAAAGGAGGGAGUUUCAAAUCCUAUUUAAAGCCAAGCCUCUGGCCUAGCAAAAUCACUCUGGCUGCAGUGAUCCUUGUCUUCCUUCUGGCCUGCUGCAGCUACUGCCGGUGAAAUAGCUGGGAAGGUUUUCAUUCUGUCCUCCCGUGCUGUGCCAGUCUGACACUGGUCUGGAAUUCCUUCUUUUUUCUCCUGACUGGUGUGUAUGGCAGAAGAUCUUCAGGACAAAGAGGGGAUUCCCCCUUAGGAGGCAAUUAUUAGACCUCUUCUAAAGAAGCCUGCACUAGAUCCUCAGAGUUGGGCAAUAUUAGGCCUGUCUCCAACCUCCUGUGGCUGGGCAAGGUAACUGAGAGGGUGGUGGCCUCUCAGCUCCAAAUGGUCUUGGAGGAAACUGAUUAUCUAUACCCAUUUCAAACUGGCUUCUGGGCGGGCUAUGGGGUGGAGACAGCCUUGGAUGGCCUGAUGGAUGAUCUCCAAUUGGCAAUUGACAGAGGAAGUGUGACUCUGUUGGUCCUUUUGGACUUCUCAGCGGCUUUCGAUACUAUCAACCAUAGUAUCCUUCUGGAGCAUCUGAGGGGGUUGGGGGUGGGAGGCACUGUUUCACAGUGGUUCCGCUCCUACCUCUCGGACAGGUUCCAGAUGGUGUCGAUUGGAGAUUGUUGCUCUUCAAAAUCUGAGCUUAAGUAUGGUGUCCCUCAAGGCUCCAUACUCUCUCCAAUGCUUUUUAACAUCUACAUGAAACCGCUGGGAGAGAUCAUCAGGGGAUUUGGAGCUGGGUGUUACUAGUACGCUAAUGACACCCAGAUCUACUUCUCUAUGUCAACUUCUUCAGGAGUUGGCAUAUCCUCCCUAAAUGCCUGCCUGGAAGCAGUAAUGGGCUGGAUGAGGGAGAAUAAACUGAAGCUGAAUCCAGAUAAGACGGAGGUACUUACUGUGCGAGGUCAGAACUCCAGAGACGAUUUUGAUCUGCCUGUUCUAGAUGGGGUCACAUUUCCCCAAAAGGAACAGGUCAGCAGUCUGGGAAUACUCCGGGAUCCACACCUCUCCUUGGUUUCUCAGGUUGAGGUGGUGGCCAGGGGUGCUUUCUAUCAGCUCCGGCUGAUACGCCAGCUGCAUCCGUUUCUUGAUAUCAAUGACCUCAAAACAGUGGUACAUUUGUUGGUAACCUCCAGACUUGACUUCUGUAAUGUGCUCUACGUGGGGCUGCCUUUGUAUGUAGUCCCGAAACUUCAGUUGGUUCAGAAUGCAGCAGCCAGGUUGGUCUCUGGGUCAUCUCGGAGAGACCACAUUAUUCCUCUGUUGAUGGAGCUACAUUGGCUGCCGACAAGUUUCCGGGCAAAAUAAGAAGUGCUAGUUAUAAAGCCCUAAACGGCUUAGGCCCUGGGUAUUUAAGAGAGCGUCUUCUUCACUAUGAACCCCACUGCUCAUUGAGGUCAUCUGAGGAGGUCCGUCUCCAGUUACCGCCAACUCAUUUGGUAGUGAUACAGAGAUGGACCUUCUCGGCUGCUGCCCCAAGAUUGUGGAAUGCGCUUCCUGCUGAGUUACGAUCCUCCCCAUCUCUGGCUAUUUUUUUUAAAAAAUUGAAAACCCAUUUUUUUACCCAAACCUUCUCAAGUUUUUAAUUAAAAAGUACUGUUAAUUUUAUGGUUUUUAAAUAACUGUAGUGUUUUAAUUUUUAUAUGUGUUUUCAUUGUUGUUAGCCGCCCAGAGACAUAAGUUUGGGCGGGGAAUAAAUUUAAUAAAUAAAUAAUAAUAAAUAAUA
Long non-coding RNA from Hemicordylus capensis (graceful crag lizard), 1768 nucleotides. RefSeq lists it as uncharacterized. NCBI's taxonomy places the organism in Eukaryota, Metazoa, Chordata, Lepidosauria, Squamata, Cordylidae. The transcript is spliced from 3 exons. The record is from RefSeq and is a predicted model, not a curated record.